GCAGUCGUGGCGGAGUGGUUAACGCGAUAGACUAGAAAUCCAUUGGGGUCUCCCCGCACAGGUUCGAAUCCUGUCGACUGCG
Non-coding RNA from Ixodes scapularis (black-legged tick), 82 nucleotides. The record is from Rfam. NCBI's taxonomy places the organism in Eukaryota, Metazoa, Arthropoda, Arachnida, Ixodida, Ixodidae.